RNAcentral lists this ribosomal RNA (468 nucleotides) under uncultured bacterium. RNAcentral's name for it is "partial 16S ribosomal RNA". It matches the Rfam family "Bacterial small subunit ribosomal RNA", at positions 28 to 507 of the family's 1533-position model. The record is from RNAcentral.
GACGAACGCUGGCGGCGUGCUUAACACAUGCAAGUCGAACGGAAAGGCCCUGCUUUUGUGGGGUGCUCGAGUGGCGAACGGGUGAGUAACACGUGAGUAACCUGCCCUUGACUUUGGGAUAACUUCAGGAAACUGGGGCUAAUACCGGAUAGGAGCUCCUGCUGCAUGGUGGGGGUUGGAAAGUUUCGGCGGUUGGGGAUGGACUCGCGGCUUAUCAGCUUGUUGGUGGGGUAGUGGCUUACCAAGGCUUUGACGGGUAGCCGGCCUGAGAGGGUGACCGGCCAAAUUGGGAUUGAGAUACGGCCCAGCCCCCUACGGGAGGCAGCAGUGGGGUAUAGUGCAUUAUGGGCUGAAGCCUGAUGCAGCAAAGCCGCGUGCGGGAUGACGGCCUUCGGGUUGUAUUCCGCUUUCGCCUGUGACGAAGCGUGAGUGACGGUAAUGGGUAAAGAAGCACCGGCUAACUACGUG